RNAcentral lists this ribosomal RNA (484 nucleotides) under uncultured bacterium. RNAcentral's name for it is "partial 16S ribosomal RNA". It matches the Rfam family "Bacterial small subunit ribosomal RNA", at positions 30 to 507 of the family's 1533-position model. The record is from RNAcentral.
AUUGAACGCUGGCGGCAGGCCUAACACAUGCAAGUCGAGCGGAUGAAGGGAGCUUGCUCCUGGCUUCAGCGGCGGACGGGUGAGUAAUGCCUAGGAAUCUGCCUGGUAGUGGGGGAUAACGUCCGGAAACGGGCGCUAAUACCGCAUACGUCCUGAGGGAGAAAGUGGGGGAUCUUCGGACCUCACGCUAUCAGAUGAGCCUAGGUCGGAUUAGCUAGUUGGUGGGGUAAAGGCCUACCAAGGCGACGAUCCGUAACUGGUCUGAGAGGAUGAUCAGUCACACUGGAACUGAGACACGGUCCAGACUCCUACGGGAGGCAGCAGUGGGGAAUAUUGGACAAUGGGCGAAAGCCUGAUCCAGCCACGCCGCGUGUGUGAAGAAGGUCUUCGGAUUGUAAAGCACUUUAAGUUGGGAGGAAGGGCAGUAAGUUAAUACCUUGCUGUUUUGACGUUACCAACAGAAUAAGCACCGGCUAACUUCGUG